Molecule: ribosomal RNA, 460 nt
Filed under: uncultured bacterium
Lineage: Bacteria
Description: partial 16S ribosomal RNA
Rfam family: Bacterial small subunit ribosomal RNA
Source: RNAcentral
CCUACGGGAGGCAGCAGUGAGGAAUAUUGGUCAAUGGGCGCGAGCCUGAACCAGCCAAGUAGCGUGAAGGAUGACUGCCCUACGGGUUGUAAACUUCUUUUAUAAAGGAAUAAAGUGAGGCACGUGUGCCUUUUUGUAUGUACUUGAUGAAUAAGCAUCGGCUAACUCCGUGCCAGCAGCCGCGGUAAUACGGAGGAUCCGAGCGUUAUCCGGAUUUAUUGGGUUUAAAGGGAGCGUAGAUGGGUUGUUAAGUCAGUUGUGAAAGUGUGCGGCUCAACCGUAAAAUUGCAAUUGAUACUGGCAGCCUUGAGUACAGUUGAGGUAGGCGGAAUUCGUGGUGUAGCGGUGAAAUGCUUAGAUAUCGCGAAGAACUCCGAUUGCGAAGGCAGCUUACUAGACUGCCACUGACGUUGAUGCUCGAAAGUGUGGGUAUCAAACAGGAUUAGAUACCCGAGUAGUC